This 244-nucleotide ribosomal RNA is filed under the name uncultured bacterium. RNAcentral's name for it is "partial 16S ribosomal RNA". It matches the Rfam family "Bacterial small subunit ribosomal RNA", at positions 116 to 354 of the family's 1533-position model. The record is from RNAcentral.
CGUGGGUAACCUGCCCAAGAGACUGGGAUAACACCUGGAAACAGAUGCUAAUACCGGAUAACAACACUAGACNCAUGUCUAGAGUUUAAAAGAUGGUUCUGCUAUCACUCUUGGAUGGACCUGCGGUGCAUUAGCUAGUUGGUAAGGUAACGGCUUACCAAGGCAAUGAUGCAUAGCCGAGUUGAGAGACUGAUCGGCCACAUUGGGACUGAGACACGGCCCAAACUCCUACGGGAGGCAGCAG